CAGUACUCAGCUCGUUCGCAAGGCCUUGUGCCGGCGAAUGGCUCAUUCAAAUUUCUUCCCUAUCAACUUUCGAUGUUUGGGUAUUGGCCAAACAUGGUGGCAACGGGUAACGGAGGGUUAGGGCUCGACCCCGGAGAAGGAGCCUGAGAAACGGCUACUACAUCCAAGGAAGGCAGCAGGCGCGCAAAUUACCCAAUCCCGACACGGGGAGGUAGUGACAAUAAAUACUGAUACAGGGCUCUUUUGGGUCUUGUAAUCGGAAUGAGUACAAUUUAAAUCCCUUAACGAGGAACAAUUGGAGGGCAAGUCUGGUGCCAGCAGCCGCGGUAAUUCCAGCUCCAAUAGCGUAUAUUAAAGUUGUUGUGGUUAAAAAGCUCGUAGUUGAACCUUGGGCCUGGCUGGCCGGUCCGCCUCACCGCGUGCACUGGUCCGGCCGGGCCUUUCCCUCUGCGGAACCCCAUGCCCUUCACUGGGUGUGGCGGGGAAACAGGACUUUUACUUUGAAAAAAUUAGAGUGCUCAAGGCAGGCCUAUGCUCGAAUACAUUAGCAUGGAAUAAUAGAAUAGGACGUGUGGUUCUAUUUUGUUGGUUUCUAGGACCGCCGUAAUGAUUAAUAGGGACAGUCGGGGGCAUCAGUAUUCAAUUGUCAGAGGUGAAAUUCUUUGGAUUUAUUGAAAACUAACUACUGCGAAAAGCAUUUGCCCAAGGAAUGUUUUUCAUUAAUCCAAGAACAAAAGUUUAGGGAAUCGAAAACAAUCAAAUACCCGUCAUUAGCCUUCAACAAAAAACUA
Molecule: ribosomal RNA, 791 nt
Filed under: Trichoderma harzianum
Lineage: Eukaryota; Fungi; Ascomycota; Sordariomycetes; Hypocreales; Hypocreaceae
Description: SSU rRNA
Rfam family: Eukaryotic small subunit ribosomal RNA
Source: RNAcentral